This is a non-coding RNA of Afipia broomeae ATCC 49717, 81 nucleotides long. Lineage: Bacteria; Pseudomonadati; Pseudomonadota; Alphaproteobacteria; Hyphomicrobiales; Nitrobacteraceae. The record is from Rfam.
GGAGAGGUGGCUGAGUGGCUUAAGGCACCGCGUGCGGUACACGGGCAACCGUGUCGGAGGUUCGAAUCCUUCCCCUCUCCG